This 498-nucleotide ribosomal RNA is filed under the name uncultured bacterium. RNAcentral describes it as "SSU rRNA". It matches the Rfam family "Bacterial small subunit ribosomal RNA", at positions 26 to 518 of the family's 1533-position model. The record is from RNAcentral.
AGAUUGAACGCUGGCGGCGUGCUUAACACAUGCAAGUCGAGCGGUAACGCGGGAGCAAUCCUGGCGACGAGCGGCGAACGGGUGAGUAAUGCUUGGGAAUCUGCCCAUUAGUGGGGAACAACCAGCCGAAAGGUUGGCUAAUACCGCAUACGCCCUACGGGGGAAAGCGGGGGAUCGAAAGACCUCGCGCUAAUGGAUGAGCCCAAGUCGGAUUAGCUUGUUGGUAGGGUAACGGCCUACCAAGGCGACAAUCCGUAGCUGGUCUGAGAGGACGACCAGCCACACUGGGACUGAGACACGGCCCAGACUCCUACGGGAGGCAGCAGUGGGGAAUAUUGGACAAUGGGGGCAACCCUGAUCCAGCGACGCCGCGUGUGUGAAGAAGGCCUGCGGGUUGUAAAGCACUUUUAGUGGGGAUGAAAAGCUCAGGGUUAACACCUCUGGGUCUUGACCUAACCCACAGAAAAAGCAACCGGCUAACUCUGUGCCAGCAGCCGC